RNAcentral lists this ribosomal RNA (433 nucleotides) under uncultured bacterium. RNAcentral's name for it is "bacterial SSU rRNA". It matches the Rfam family "Bacterial small subunit ribosomal RNA", at positions 789 to 1219 of the family's 1533-position model. The record is from RNAcentral.
GGUAGUCCAUGCCGUAAACGAUGUCUACCCUCUUGUUGGGGCCUUUGAGGCUUUAGUGGCGCAGCUAACGCGAUAAGUAGACCGCCUGGGGAGUACGGUCGCAAGACUAAAACUCAAAUGAAUUGACGGGGGCCCGCACAAGCGGUGGAGCAUGUGGUUUAAUUCGAUGCAACGCGAAAAACCUUACCUGGUCUUGACAUAUUAAGAACUUUCCAAAGAUGGAUUGGUGCCUUCGGGAACUUACAUACAGGUGCUGCAUGGCUGUCGUCAGCUCGUGUCGUGAGAUGUUGGGUUAAGUCCCGCAACGAGCGCAACCCUUUUCCUUAUUUGCCAGCGGGUUAAGCCGGGAACUUUAAGGAUACUGCCAGUGACAAAGCUGGAGGAAGGCGGGGACGACGUCAAGUCAUCAUGGCCCUUACGACCAGGGCUACAC